AACUCAAUAUUUCACGCAUAAUAGACGCUGAGGAGCAGAAAGUAUCCAUGAAAGUUUGAAACCUACCUACCAUUAUGGCUGUGAUUUAUUGUUUAAUACUCAUCUGAAGUGAUGCGUGUUACCAGACCAAGUGACAUUGUCACUCAUCCUUCUUCUCCACUUUAGAUUUUGCUGCAGAUUUAGAUUUGUAGGGGCUAGCACUGUAUGCAGACAUCUGAAUCAUCGCAAAGAAAACCAUCUCCACACAAACUAGAGUAUUUUGUAAGGCUUCAUUUAUGUGUUCAACAUCAAACCAGGCAUGUUCUGCUUUGAUUAUGCCCACUGCAGCAAGCAUCUCAAGAACGAUUCCCUG
This 352-nucleotide unclassified non-coding RNA is filed under the name Hevea brasiliensis (rubber tree). Lineage: Eukaryota; Viridiplantae; Streptophyta; Magnoliopsida; Malpighiales; Euphorbiaceae. The record is from RNAcentral.